Non-coding RNA from Podarcis lilfordi (Lilford's wall lizard), 72 nucleotides. The record is from the annotation of a GenBank genome assembly. Lineage: Eukaryota; Metazoa; Chordata; Lepidosauria; Squamata; Lacertidae.
GCCGUAGCUCAGUGGCAGAGCAGCAUCUGCUUUGUGUGAUGAAGGUCCUAGGUUCAAUCCUUGGCAUCUCCA